AAUUAAUUGUUCGAAUAAUUUGCCUGCACAGGACGUCAAUGUUAUAGGUCUAUAGGAGUCGAAAUUUGUAGGAUCUUUACCGGGUUUAAUUACUGGAAUCAAACAAUCCAUUUUCCAUUCUGGUGGGAUAAUACAGUCCUUCCAUAAAUCGUUAAAAAUUUGUAAGAGUUUAGUAAGGUUUAUUUUAUUCAGCAAUCGAAACAUAUUGUAUGUUAAGCGAUCAAGGCCACUAGCUGUAUCUUUUCUAGAUUUUACUGCACUGGAUAUUUCAUCAAUUGAGAAUGGGUCAGUGAGAAAUUUUGGGCAUGAAUUAACAGAAUUAAACUGUUUGUCAUCAAAAGGUGAGUGUACAAAAUCAGGAGUAUAUUUGCGUAAAAAAUCAUUGACCCAUGAUAUAUCUUUAAAAUGAUUUUGACGAUGUUUUGAAUUUAGUUUUCUCAUAUUUUGCCAAACAGUGGAAAUUGGUGUUAAUCUAUUAAAUUUGGAACAAAAUUCCUGCCACCCCUGUUGUCUUACUUGCUUAAUUACUAACUUUUUAACAGCUUGAACUCUUUUAAAAUUUAUGUAAUUAUCGAGAGUUGGAUUUUGUUUAAACCUAAGGUAAGCCGCUUUACUAUCAUUGACAGCUGUCGCACACCUGUUAUUCCACCAAGGUACUGCAAUAUGUUUGUGCCUCUUUGAAGUAUUUGCACCGCUAUUUGAUAAGUUCCUACGUGGAACGGUACGUUCCACAGCUGUCAAAAUAAUUUUACAGAAUCUAUUGUAAUUGUUUAAGGGUUCAUUGACAUCAUACUCGAAAUCCAAAAGUAAUUGAUUAACAGUUUCAGAAUAAAGAUCCCAAUUAACGAGACAUGCUGCAACGCUCAGAAUUCUUACAGAAUUUAGCUAAAUGUCCAUACCUCAAGCACCGGUAGCAUUGUUUAACUGGUGGUAUAUAUGAAGUGACAUUGUGGCGCCAACCUCCAAUAUCCAGAUAUUCAGAUUCUGAGUCAGUAGAAGUAUCUUCCGAAUAUAUAUCCUUGUCAUUACAAGGUUCAUGGUCUACAUCACCUGAAUCGUCAUCUUUUUUUUCCUUUUUCUACAACUGCGCUUCCCCAUGAAUGCUAAUUAUAUUACUGUCGCUGAAUUUAGUGAAAAUAUAAUAUUUUAUUCAAUAAUAAGAAUUGAUAGAGAUAGUUUUAAUAAAUUAAUAAAAAAAAUUUAAAAAA
This is a long non-coding RNA of Galleria mellonella (greater wax moth), 1208 nucleotides long. RefSeq lists it as uncharacterized. The transcript has 3 exons. Lineage: Eukaryota; Metazoa; Arthropoda; Insecta; Lepidoptera; Pyralidae. The record is from RefSeq and is a predicted model, not a curated record.